UGGUAGAUGCACCCUGAUCCAUACCCUGGAGGCUAACUCCAGGGCUUCUUUAU
RNAcentral lists this small RNA (53 nucleotides) under Desertifilum tharense IPPAS B-1220. RNAcentral describes it as "Desertifilum sp. IPPAS B-1220 Nitrogen stress-induced RNA 1". It matches the Rfam family "Nitrogen stress-induced RNA 1". The record is from Rfam by way of RNAcentral. Lineage: Bacteria; Bacillati; Cyanobacteriota; Cyanophyceae; Desertifilales; Desertifilaceae.